UCGGUAGAGCGUGAGACUCUUAAUCUCAAGGUUGCGGGUUCGACCCCCGCAUUGGGCU
This 58-nucleotide transfer RNA is filed under the name Thielaviopsis punctulata. RNAcentral describes it as "Ceratocystis radicicola tRNA". It matches the Rfam family "tRNA", at positions 16 to 71 of the family's 71-position model. Rfam says of the family: Transfer RNA (tRNA) molecules are approximately 80 nucleotides in length. Lineage: Eukaryota; Fungi; Ascomycota; Sordariomycetes; Microascales; Ceratocystidaceae. The record is from Rfam by way of RNAcentral.